ACAACUUAGUGCCCUAAAGAAGAAGAAAGAUAAUGGUUCGCAAUCAAUGCUCAUGGACCAGACACCUAAUCUGAACUUAACCAAAAAGUCAAUAUUUAGCUGUACCUUAUCAGUGUGGAACUGUCAAGCAUAGCAAGAGGCACGAACAAAUUUCCAAGUGAUUUCUCUUUUUUUAACGUUUCGGUGUUCACAGCUAUGUGGAAGCAUUUCAACAUCAGAUAAGACAAAACGGCCUUUGGGACAAAAAAAAAGACAGCAAAUUACAAUACUUGCACUUGCCGAAACCACAGUUUAUGAGAGGAAAGCAGACGCUGGAGAUGCAUUCUAUUCUCUCCUAGCCCAUUCCCUGGGUCACCUUCCUGCCUGUGUGAUGCUAGCCCUUGAUUGUUACCCACAGCUGGCAGCCUUUAAGAGACAGAUAUGGUGAAAUGUCUCCUUGCUGAGUAAAGUCAUAAUUUGUUGCCACCCAACAUAAUUGACACAAAUCAUUUGCAUUCUAAAUUUCCAUGCCUAGGAGUAGAUAUAUCAAGCAUGACUAGAAGGACUGUGGGUCUGCGAAACAGGAGCUCCACCUGGAUUUCCUGGAAGUUAUGGCCAGUUAAUGUAGAGAAAGAGGUUUUCAAAAUUGUAAGAACUUCAGGACCUUUGUCAGAAUUCCAUUUCGCUCCACAGGACUCCAGCUAACCUCACCCACAUAACUGGUGUUGAAAGUUUUAUUUUGUUAGAAAAUAAUGUUACACUGGAAAAACCUAUGCUGGUACUCACAUUUAAUGGGAUGGUUGGACUGUCUGUCAGCAAGAAACAUUUGGUUAUGGAAAAAAGGAAACAACACAAGAAAGAAAGGUUGAAGUUUAUGUCUGGAUAAAUUAACUCCCCACUAUUUCUGGCCUACCUGGAUAUGGGCAGCACAUGCUCUUCAGGCAGAGGAAGUCCAGAGUCAAAGAGACACAAAUGCUUGAGUUUCAACAAUGUCCUUGGAGAGGGCCGGAAAAGGGCAAGAGGAAUUGGAAGCCACAUGGUAUCUGACAAGGCUUGUUCAUUAUCACAGCUUCUCCUCCUCUGUUGUGCUGUGUCAACCACCAAGUUGUGCCAGCCGAGAAUUGUGGUCUCAGGUCUCCAUCCAGAUCUUUGAUUGUGUGGCCACAUGGAUUCAGGCAGCUGAACACGAGCAUGGAGGCACAGGCUUUCCCUCUAAGGGUCUCAGGAAGACCACCAAACAUCAGAGGAAACCGAGGCUGAGGUCUACAUGCAACAGUCUUUGAAGAGCACGAGAACACACUGAGACCAGCAGAAAGGUAUAUAAAGUUUGUUAAGUUGAGAAACUCAGAUAAUCUGUCCGGCUGUGCCUAGCUCCUCUGGAUUUAAGGGACCUUCUUUUUCAUGGAAAGGAGUUUUUCUGGAGAUCAGCCUCUGAAGGUGGAGCCAAGGCCAUGAUCACAGGUCUCCUGUGUGAGAAGUCAUUUCCUGAUGCUCCCGGCAUUCUUCCAGAAACCCCUCUUUCCACUUUCUAAUGCUGCCAUAAUUACCUAUAGGUAACAAAAUAUUUUCUGCCCGUUCUUACUAGAAAAAUGUGUGAAGAGAGGGUAGAUAGGUUCUAACCCUUGGUCUAUGAUGUAGGCCGUUCUUGCAUUGCUAUAAAGAAAUACCUGAGACUGGGUAAUUUAUAAAGAAAAGAGGCUUAAUUGGCCAUGAUUCUGCAGGCUGUACAGGAAGCAUGGUGCUGGCAUCUACUCAGCUUUGGGAGGCCUCAAGGAGCUUUCACUCAUGGCAGAGGGUGAAGCGGGAGCUUGCCUGUCACAUGGUGAAAGCAGGAGCAAGAAAGAGAGGAGGGAGCUGCCACAUGUGUUUAAACAACCAGCUCUUGUGCGAACUCACUAUCAUGAGGACAGCAUCAAGCCAUGAGGGAUCCACCCCCAUGACCCAAACACCUCCCACUAGGCCCCAACUCUAAUAUUGGGGAUUACAUUUCCACAUGGGAUUUGGAGGGGAUAAAUGUCCAAACUAUAUCUGUCCAUUUGUAAACUACAUGAAAUUUAGUCUAUUGACUUUAUAGUGUCUCUUUGUCUUUCUGUAUUGCUUGGUUCUUGACUAUUUGUGGGGAUAGUUGAUGUCAUAAAACAAAUGAGUUAUCACAGUCUCUGGAACUGUUAUUGAAAUGAUUUUUGCCAGUAUUUUUCUAGGAAUAUAUGUCAAGUUUUUAUGCUUUCAUUUUAAAGACAUUUUCUUUGUUUUCUAAAGAUAAAUAUUACUUAACACUAUCAGCAACUUCAUUUUCCACUUCACUUCUUUAGGAGUUUUAAAAAAACACUGAUUAGUGGCACUAAAAUAGUUAUAUUAAAUGCUCUGAAAUGUAGCUCACCAGAGAAUGUAGAUGAAUAAUAUUUUUCUUAGUAAAAUAUGCUGUUUAAACUCCUCUUCCUCUCUCAUUUUUCUUAAUCCUUCUCUUUCCAUUUCCUCUCUAUUAGUAAUUGGACUCAUUAGACUCAGCUACCUCCUUCUCUUCUGUUCUUUAUCUGGUAUUUAGUUAACACUAUAUUCUAGGUGCUCACUGUAGGAACUUAUACUCUAGAAGGGAGGGCAAUGUACAGAAAUUCCAUAAUAAAACAGAAUAUGUGCUUAAAUGCUAUAAGAGUUAUAAAAUGUAUUAGGAGAGAUUCUUCAUUAAGGAGAGAUGAUUCUUGAUCGAGUGAUCAUAAUGGUGAUUAAUUAGCAGAGAACAAGUUUUUAGAAAUGUACACUCUAUGUAAAUUUGUUUACGUUUUUCUAGAUUCUGGAUAUUAGUCCUUUGUCAGAUGGAUAGAUUGCAAAAAUUUUCUCCCAUUCUGUAGGUUGUCUGUUCAUUCUGAUGACAGUUUCUUUUGCUGUGCAGAAGCUCUUUAGUUUAAUUAGAUCCCAUUUAUCAAUUUUGGCUUUUGUUGCCAUUGCUUUUGGUGUGUUAGUCAUGAAGUCUUUGCCCAUGCUUAUGUCCUGAAUGGUAUUGCCUAAGUUUUCUUCUGGGGUUUUUAUGGUUUUCAAUUUUACAUUUAAGUCUUUAAUCCAUCUUGAGUUAAUUUUUAUAUAAGGUGUAAGGAAGGGAUGCAGUUUCAGUUUUGUGCAUAUGGCUACCUAGUUUUCCCCAUUAAAAAGGGGGCAAAGGAUAUGAACAGACACUUCUCAAAAGAAGACAUUUAUGUGGCCAACAAACAUAUGAAAGAAAACUCAUCAUCACUGGCCAUUAGAGAAAUGAAAAUCAAAACCACAAUGAGAUACCAUCUCAUGACAGUUAAAAUGGCAAUCAUUAAAAAGUCAGGAAACAACAGAUGCUGGAGAGGAUGUGGAGAAAUAGGAACGCUUUUACACUGUUGGUGCAGAAUGUAAAUUAGUUCAACCAUUGU
Molecule: long non-coding RNA, 3374 nt
Filed under: Papio anubis (olive baboon)
Lineage: Eukaryota; Metazoa; Chordata; Mammalia; Primates; Cercopithecidae
Description: lncRNA (ENSPANG00000045789.1)
Source: RNAcentral